UCCGUCCUACGGGACGCAGCAGUGGGGAAUAUUGCACAAUGGGGGGAACCCUGAUGCAGCAAUGCCGCGUGGGUGAAGAAGCACUCCGGUGCGUAAAGCCCUGUCAGCAGGGAAGAAAAUGACAGUACCUGGACAAGAAGCCCCGGCUAACUACGUGCCAGCAGCCGCGGUAAUACGUAGGGGGCAAGCAUUAUCCGGAUUUACUGGGUGUAAAGGGAGCGCAGGCGGCGUGGCAAGUCAGAUGUGAAAACCCGGGGCGCAACCCCGGGAGUGCGUUUGAAACUGCCAUGCUGGAGUGACGGAGG
RNAcentral lists this ribosomal RNA (305 nucleotides) under uncultured bacterium. Its description in RNAcentral is "bacterial SSU rRNA". It matches the Rfam family "Bacterial small subunit ribosomal RNA", at positions 333 to 655 of the family's 1533-position model. The record is from RNAcentral.